GUGGGGAAUAUUGGGCAAUGGGGGAAACCCUGACCCAGCGACGCCGCGUGAGGGAAGAAGGCCUUAGGGUCGUAAACCUCUGUUGUGUGGGAAGAAGAGCGUGACGGUACCACACGAGGAAGUCCCGGCUAACUACGUGCCAGCAGCCGCGGUAAUACGUAGGGGACGAGCGUUGUCCGGAUUUACUGGGCGUAAAGGGCGCGUAGGCGGUCAUUUAAGUCAGCUGUGAAAUGGUUUGGCUUAACCGGAUCAUGCGGUUGAAACUGGAUGACUGGAGUGCUGGAGAGGCAAGUGGAAUUCCCAGUGUAGCGAUGAAAUGCGUAGAUAUUGGGAAGAACACCGGUGGCGAAGGCGACUUGCUGGCCAGCAACUGACGCUGAGGCGCGAAAGCCAGGGGAGCAAACGGGAUUAGAAACCCUAGUAGCC
Molecule: ribosomal RNA, 426 nt
Filed under: uncultured bacterium
Lineage: Bacteria
Description: partial 16S ribosomal RNA
Rfam family: Bacterial small subunit ribosomal RNA
Source: RNAcentral